UCAGGACGAACGCUGGCGGCGUGCCUAAUACAUGCAAGUCGAGCGGACAGAUGGGAGCUUGCUCCCUGAUGUUAGCGGCGGACGGGUGAGUAACACGUGGGUAACCUGCCUGUAAGACUGGGAUAACUCCGGGAAACCGGGGCUAAUACCGGAUGGUUGUUUGAACCGCAUGGUUCAAACAUAAAAGGUGGCUUCGGCUACCACUUACAGAUGGACCCGCGGCGCAUUAGCUAGUUGGUGAGGUAACGGCUCACCAAGGCGACGAUGCGUAGCCGACCUGAGAGGGUGAUCGGCCACACUGGGACUGAGACACGGCCCAGACUCCUACGGGAGGCAGCAGUAGGGAAUCUUCCGCAAUGGACGAAAGUCUGACGGAGCAACGCCGCGUGAGUGAUGAAGGUUUUCGGAUCGUAAAGCUCUGUUGUUAGGGAAGAACAAGUACCGUUCGAAUAGGGCGGUACCUUGACGGUACCUAACCAGAAAGCCACGGCUAACUACGUGCCAGCAGCCGCGGUAAUACGUAGGUGGCAAGCGUUGUCCGGAAUUAUUGGGCGUAAAGGGCUCGCAGGCGGUUUCUUAAGUCUGAUGUGAAAGCCCCCGGCUCAACCGGGGAGGGUCAUUGGAAACUGGGGAACUUGAGUGCAGAAGAGGAGAGUGGAAUUCCACGUGUAGCGGUGAAAUGCGUAGAGAUGUGGAGGAACACCAGUGGCGAAGGCGACUCUCUGGUCUGUAACUGACGCUGAGGAGCGAAAGCGUGGGGAGCGAACAGGAUUAGAUACCCUGGUAGUCCACGCCGUAAACGAUGAGUGCUAAGUGUUAGGGGGUUUCCGCCCCUUAGUGCUGCAGCUAACGCAUUAAGCACUCCGCCUGGGGAGUACGGUCGCAAGACUGAAACUCAAAGGAAUUGACGGGGGCCCGCACAAGCGGUGGAGCAUGUGGUUUAAUUCGAAGCAACGCGAAGAACCUUACCAGGUCUUGACAUCCUCUGACAAUCCUAGAGAUAGGACGUCCCCUUCGGGGGCAGAGUGACAGGUGGUGCAUGGUUGUCGUCAGCUCGUGUCGUGAGAUGUUGGGUUAAGUCCCGCAACGAGCGCAACCCUUGAUCUUAGUUGCCAGCAUUCAGUUGGGCACUCUAAGGUGACUGCCGGUGACAAACCGGAGGAAGGUGGGGAUGACGUCAAAUCAUCAUGCCCCUUAUGACCUGGGCUACACACGUGCUACAAUGGACAGAACAAAGGGCAGCGAAACCGCGAGGUUAAGCCAAUCCCACAAAUCUGUUCUCAGUUCGGAUCGCAGUCUGCAACUCGACUGCGUGAAGCUGGAAUCGCUAGUAAUCGCGGAUCAGCAUG
RNAcentral lists this ribosomal RNA (1349 nucleotides) under Bacillus subtilis. Its description in RNAcentral is "bacterial SSU rRNA". It matches the Rfam family "Bacterial small subunit ribosomal RNA", at positions 24 to 1356 of the family's 1533-position model. The record is from RNAcentral. Lineage: Bacteria; Bacillati; Bacillota; Bacilli; Caryophanales; Bacillaceae.